AAAGUCAGCUGGAUGAUCGCGGAUGAUAUGAUUCUGAGGAAAGUCCGGGCACCUGAUAAACAAGAUGCCGGAUAACGUCCGGCGGGCUGUUGCUUAAGCUGCAGUUUAGGGAAAGUGCCACAGAAAUGAUACCGCCUUUGGGUAAGGGUGAAAUGGUGCGGUAAGAGCGCACCGCGCGUUUGGUAAUAAACGUGGCAGGGCAAACCCCCAGAAAUGGGGGCUUUUUCAUUGGAAGAUCAAUCAAUAAGCUGUGCUUAUUUUAGUACGCAUGAAGUUGUAUAUAUAAUACAUAUUGUCUUUCAUU
Molecule: RNase P RNA, 304 nt
Filed under: Alphaproteobacteria bacterium
Lineage: Bacteria; Pseudomonadati; Pseudomonadota; Alphaproteobacteria
Description: RNase P RNA component class A
Rfam family: Bacterial RNase P class A
About the family: Ribonuclease P (RNase P) is a ubiquitous endoribonuclease, found in archaea, bacteria and eukarya as well as chloroplasts and mitochondria. Its best characterised activity is the generation of mature 5'-ends of tRNAs by cleaving the 5'-leader elements of precursor-tRNAs. Cellular RNase Ps are ribonucleoproteins.
Source: RNAcentral